This 510-nucleotide ribosomal RNA is filed under the name uncultured bacterium. Its description in RNAcentral is "partial 16S ribosomal RNA". It matches the Rfam family "Bacterial small subunit ribosomal RNA", at positions 28 to 507 of the family's 1533-position model. The record is from RNAcentral.
GACGAACGCUGGCGGCGUGCUUAACACAUGCAAGUCGAACGAAGAGCGAUGGAAGCUUGCUUCUAUCAAUCUUAGUGGCGAACGGGUGAGUAACGCGUAAUCAACCUGCCCUUCAGAGGGGGACAACAGUUGGAAACGACUGCUAAUACCGCAUACGAUCUAAUCUCGGCAUCGAGGAUAGAUGAAAGGUGGCCUCUACAUGUAAGCUAUCACUGAAGGAGGGGAUUGCGUCUGAUUAGCUAGUUGGUGGGGUAACGUCCCACCAAGGCGAUGAUCAGUAGCCGGUCGGAGAGGAUGAACGGCCAAAUUGGGACUGAGACAAGGCCCAGAAUGCUACGGGAGGCAGCAGUGGGGAAUCUUCCGAAAAGGACGAAAGUCUGACGGAGCAACGCCGCGUGAGUGAUGACGGCCUUCGGGUUGUAAAGCUCUGUUAAUCGGGACGAAAGGCCUUCUUGCGAAUAGUGAGAAGGAUUGACGGUACCGGAAUAGAAAGCCACGGCUAACUACGUG